This is a long non-coding RNA of Carassius gibelio (silver crucian carp), 463 nucleotides long. RefSeq lists it as uncharacterized. NCBI's taxonomy places the organism in Eukaryota, Metazoa, Chordata, Actinopteri, Cypriniformes, Cyprinidae. The record is from RefSeq and is a predicted model, not a curated record. The transcript is spliced from 3 exons.
UUGUCAUUCAGUGUUUGUCCACCGCAGACGGUAAUUAGCUUAGCGGCUCAGCCCUUCACGCUCAGCGCGAUAGCAUCAAUUGGUGACGAUGCGCCCUUAUCCAUUUUCCCGCCAUCAGCUGUCACGGUCCAUUUCCGCUGCACAAACGCCCGCGGAUGUUUUCCUGAUUAAAGCGGCAGAUAGAGCGCGUGUGGGCGGGAUGAGCCGAGUCAAGUGCAGCCUGUCACUAAGGAUGCGGGUCAACGUGCCUGUUCGAGUUAUUUCUCUGGAAUUUUUUUGGCAAGGGGAACGUCCUGCAUUACUUAAGCCAUCUGCUGUCCACCAGCUGAACAAUAACACACUCUGAGGACAUCGGACAGAUGUCUCUGAGGAUGAAGAAUACAUUUUAAAUAUCUUUUGGUGUCAGAAGAAGAUUCUUCCAUGUGAACUGAGAAGACUAUUGUGUCCACAUCUGCUUUUGAGC